RNAcentral lists this ribosomal RNA (569 nucleotides) under uncultured Gammaproteobacteria bacterium. Its description in RNAcentral is "bacterial SSU rRNA". It matches the Rfam family "Bacterial small subunit ribosomal RNA", at positions 812 to 1381 of the family's 1533-position model. Lineage: Bacteria; Pseudomonadati; Pseudomonadota; Gammaproteobacteria. The record is from RNAcentral.
UCGAUUUGGAGUUUGUUGCCUAGAGUGAUGGGCUCCGAAGCUAACGCGAUAAAUCGACCGCCUGGGGAGUACGGCCGCAAGGUUAAAACUCAAAUGAAUUGACGGGGGCCCGCACAAGCGGUGGAGCAUGUGGUUUAAUUCGAUGCAACGCGAAGAACCUUACCUGGUCUUGACAUCCACAGAAACUUGCAGAGAUGCGAGAGUGCCUUCGGGAACUGUGAGACAGGUGCUGCAUGGCUGUCGUCAGCUCGUGUUGUGAAAUGUUGGGUUAAGUCCCGCAACGAGCGCAACCCUUAUCCUUUGUUGCCAUUGGUUCGGCCGGGAACUCAAAGGAGACUGCCGUUGAUAAAGCGGAGGAAGGUGGGGACGACGUCAAGUCAUCAUGGCCCUUACGACCAGGGCUACACACGUGCUACAAUGGCGUAUACAAAGGGAGGCGACCUCGCGAGAGCAAGCGGACCUCAUAAAGUACGUCUAAGUCCGGAUUGGAGUCUGCAACUCGACUCCAUGAAGUCGGAAUCGCUAGUAAUCGUGAAUCAGAAUGUCACGGUGAAUACGUUCCCGGGCCU